GGCGGGUUGGCAGAGUGGUAAUGCUCGCGCUGGUUUACCACGCGAUUCGGGUUCGACUCCUGAGCUCGCCA
Exophiala dermatitidis NIH/UT8656 is the source of this 71-nucleotide non-coding RNA. NCBI's taxonomy places the organism in Eukaryota, Fungi, Ascomycota, Eurotiomycetes, Chaetothyriales, Herpotrichiellaceae. The record is from the annotation of a RefSeq genome assembly.